UCCCACAGUUGUGACUUCGGUAGCUUGAAGUGGCAGCUGCUAAUAGUUUUAAUAUGGACUACAAAUGUUUAGAUAAUUGGUACAAGAUAAAGAGUUAGACAACAACCAUGAAUACUUGUGUUAAAGGCAUUGAUGAGGACAGAAGGAUAUUAGCGGUGUCGAAGUGUCUGGAGGAUGCGCUGGAAGCGGCUCUGCGCAACGCGCUUGAGCUCGAGCUGAAGAUCGCAAUGAGUGAAGUCAGAAGCGAGAUGUCAGGGAUCAGAUACAUGAAAGCCAGCAAGAUAACAUCACCUUUAAACUACGACUACAGAACAUCCAUGCUGAACAUGACAACCCAAAACUUACAAAUCAGAGCAGGAUCAAAUCAGCGGGUAGCGUGCGUGACAAACGUGCAAUUAUGAACACCGAAGAUACCUCAGACCCAGAAAAGAAGUUUAAGACAGAUCACACACAACACACAGAUAACAUACAACACGUAGAUCCAGGUGAUCAGGACCCAUCAUUGUCUGAGCUUGUGUUUGAACAGGUUAAGGAGGAAAAUGAAAAGGAAGAAUCAGAGGAUCACAGACCCAGCAUGGGUAGUGGUCGAAACAAAAAAUAAUAAUUAUACUUCAGAAAUCAGUUGGUCAUCCAGUGGCUGUUUGUCUUAACUCUACGCCCCAUUUGAUGGACUCAACCAAUCAGUAGACAAGACUUACCUCAUCCAGUCGACCCAAAACUGUAGAGAAUUGAGAACUGUCCAGUCCAUAUGUUUGUCAAUUCUGUGGUUAUGCAUUUUAUAGUGAAAGUGAUCUGCGUAAUCAUCACAUGCAGUAUCACAAGACUGCAUUAAAGGGGAAGGUUGUAAUUGCAACCAAGAAGCAAAAACAGCAGCGUUUCCCACCUGGAUGGAGCACAUUUUGCUGAACUGUCUGCAACCAACGCUUGAACGCUUGGAGAACUUGAAGACUCACUUGCAGAUACACAUUUGUGAGCGUCCGUACCCCUGUUCGGUCUGUGGGGUACGAUUUCGCCAUGCUGGGGUGCUAAAAAGGCAUUUCCGCAUUCACACUGGGGAAAAACCUUAUAUAUGUUCAGUGUGUGGAAAGAGUUUUCGAAACUGGAAGUCUGCGUUUCCACCAGAAAUCCCAGUCCAGUGAAUUCUUUGAGGAAAUGAUGGAGUAUAUGAGGGGAAAUUGUUGUGUUUUUACGAACACAGACACAUUCACUCAGUACAAGACUUUUACGGAUUUAAAAUAAGGCAAUUAUAUAUUUAUUUUAUGUCUGUUCACACGAAAUAUGUGAAAUAGCUUAAAUAUUUAUUGCACAUUGCUGUUUUUUUAAAUGAUUGGA
Long non-coding RNA from Triplophysa dalaica, 1332 nucleotides. RefSeq lists it as uncharacterized. The transcript has 3 exons. Lineage: Eukaryota; Metazoa; Chordata; Actinopteri; Cypriniformes; Nemacheilidae. The record is from RefSeq and is a predicted model, not a curated record.